Molecule: non-coding RNA, 627 nt
Organism: Callorhinus ursinus (northern fur seal)
Lineage: Eukaryota; Metazoa; Chordata; Mammalia; Carnivora; Otariidae
Source: RefSeq, a predicted model, not a curated record
GUUGGGGAGGACAUAUCAGAAGCAGGGAGAUCAGCUAUGACAUCGUUGCACCAACACUGGUGCUUUAGACUAAGGUGGUUGCGUGGGUGGCCAUGGGGAGUGGUGGAACUCGGUAUAUUUUGGAGGGAGCGCCAACACGAUUUUCUGGAUUGAGGAUGAAGCGUCAGAGGACGACUCCCAGGGCCCGGGAUUCUGGGUGGAUAGAAUUGCCAUCACUGCACCAGGACAGAUUGUCCCACUUCCCGACAGCCAGGAAAAUGUGGUUGAACCUUUGAAGAAUGAAAUCCAACUAGCCAGCCUUCAAUCACGAAAGCACUAACCGCUCUGGUGUGAGCUACCCAAAUCCUUUCCCUCGAUGACCACUUCGCCCAGUUACAUAAUCCUGAGGAGAGCACAGGAGAAGAAGAGAACGGAACUCCCUAAGAAAAGGAGGCCAAGUGAUGGAGAUGGAGAAAAACCUUACCCAAGACUCCAGUGGAAGAUGAGUCAGGAGGCCCCCUGCCAGAGAAGGAAGACUGAGUUGGCUGAGUCUUGUCUGGAGACAAUAGAGUGAGGGCCACAGUGAAUCACUUGGGGCGCCCUACCUACCCUGCUCUAGGGAAGCCUGCCAUAUACCUGAUGGUUAAG